This 2232-nucleotide long non-coding RNA is filed under the name Lactuca sativa (garden lettuce). Its description in RNAcentral is "long non-coding RNA (LSAT_LNC007833)". Lineage: Eukaryota; Viridiplantae; Streptophyta; Magnoliopsida; Asterales; Asteraceae. The record is from RNAcentral.
UGUAAGCCUAUGUCCUCCCUUCUUCAUGACAGUCAUCAAUUAUGAGUCACCUCAUGCCACAUGUGUUAUAAACAAUAUUAAAUGAAGAUAAAUACUUCUAUUAACCAACAUCGUUUCCAAAACCACAUACCAAAUCAUCUAAAACAUUGCUUUUAAUAUUGUUCAUCACCCCGAAAUUAGAGUUAUUCAAGAAGUCUCAAUGUCUAUAAAUAUGAUGCAGGUAAUGAAUAAUGACAAUAAAAUACUCAAAUGAAUGCUCCAAUGAAUAACACAACUACACACCAUACGGUCCUUACUUCUGUUUAACUAAUCACUAUAUCAAACCAAAAGAACCAAUAUUUGAGUAGUAAAUAUCAUACUUAUAUCUGCAUGGCAUUUUACCAUGGUUGUGGAGCAUAGAAUCAGCAAUUGCAUCUACACAAAUGAACAUAUCACUCAAACCUACAUUAAAAGGCAAAACAGAUCAAUAAAAGUAAUAUACAGUUACAUUUAUCAUUCAUCUUAAUCAGAAGCCCAUUUGGGCACCACUCUUCACCUUAAUCGAUCAAAACCGCAAAAAAAAUAACUAAAAAAAGCUUUAAAGUAUUAAAGACCCACAAAACUUAAAGUUAAAUUACAUAUUUGGACUGAAAAUAUGAAAGCUAAAAUACACUCUGUGCUUCAAAACAAAUCAUUACAUGAAGAUAUAUAACAGGGGAGUUAAAUCACAAUAAGCCAAUCUGGAACUUAAAAAAAUAUAAUUAUAAAUAAAUAGAACUCGAAAUAAACCUUGAGUUAGUUGUUGUUGUUACUUGUGCUAUCCCGUUUUUGUAGUAGAGGGAGUGAGAGAGAGAGAGGAGAUCUGAUUCCAGAUCUAUCAAAUAUCCAUGCAGUGUGUAUGUGAAAGACAAAGAGUAACCAUGGUCAAAUACGAAAUAAUUAACCCAAAACAGCCAUCAAUAUGAAGUUUUGAGUUUAAAAAGCAAGCCAAAAUGCAAAAGCAUAACUGAUGAUAUAUGUUUGAGACGAAAUCAUGUCCAGAUCCGAAAUAAUAAACCAAAAACAGCUAUCAAUUCCUUCUACAUGAAACAGUCGACAACUUCACACUCAUAAUUAACAAAAAAAUCAUGAAAAUCUUACCUGCGUAUGUGGAUUUGUCUACAAAGAGGAGUCGAUCGUCGGUGUGCCAACUACAACGCCGACUAAGGUCGCAGAUCUUGAAAGUAGAAUGACGAUGGAGUGAUACAGAGAACAAUGUUUAUGUCGGUUGUUUUCCGGAAAGCGAGUAAGGGAUUUAAAGAUAUGCUCCUCCGCCCUUAAUAAUUACAUGUUUGUAUCAAUCAAAAGUUUAAAUCCCAAAACUCAAUUUCAUGAUUUCAAAAAAUUAUGUCACAUUUAACAGAAGAAAUGAACUAACCUUGAAUGCAAGAGCAUGAUCAGCAGCGAAGAAGAGGGAAGCAGAGACUAAAGCUGUUAUGCAUACUUUCAACAUGGAUUCUACAAAACUGAUAGGGGAAUCAUCAGUGAUUUUGUACUGGGUUCGUACCUGCUCAUGUAAUUACUCGUUUCAUGGAUGUUGGGAAGAUUAAACAUCAAACGAAUGAUAAAGAUGAAAGGGAAUGAAAAGAUACCUGCGGAGAAGAAGGGAUUUGAAGAAUUGGAGGAGAGGUUUUGGAAGGAGGGAGACAGUGAAGUUUGGAGCAACAGAGGCGUUAGAGGCAACAAGUGUUGGAGAAGAUCGUUAUAGAAUGUAUGACGAACUGUACAAGAUAGAUUAUGUUGGGGAUGAUAACAAAUCGAACCUGGGAUCCAGAGAACACAAAAAAAUUAGAAAAUCUUACAAACAAAAUUGAUAAAGAAAAUAGUAGAAGAAAAGAUUUCAAAAAACAUUAGUACCGAGGGAUCCUUUCUAUGUCAGGUUUUAGAACCUGAUUGUAGAUGCGGUUUUGAAGUGGAAAGGCAGGUGAAGGAUUCAUGAACAAUGUAGAGAGCGGCUAGGGUUUCUCAAAUGUGAGAGAGAAAGGAAGGCUUUUAGUUCCAGAUAUCCGAAAAUUUGAUUUCAAAAAGAUUUGAAUUGCCCGCCUUGGAUUAUAACAGGUUGGCAAUCCGUGUGAGUCCUUGUUUUUAAUCCCCACCAUUCGAAUAAUAUUCAACGGUUCAGAUCUGCUCUCCUUGUUUUUUAAGAUAACAUGCUUAAUUUUUUGUAUCUUAGGCUUUAAAGUUUGUACUUAAGACAUUGAUUAUGUAUGCUNU